RNAcentral lists this ribosomal RNA (313 nucleotides) under uncultured bacterium. Its description in RNAcentral is "bacterial SSU rRNA". It matches the Rfam family "Bacterial small subunit ribosomal RNA", at positions 30 to 334 of the family's 1533-position model. The record is from RNAcentral.
AUUGAACGCUGGCGGCAGGCCUAACACAUGCAAGUCGAACGGUAACAGGAAACAGCUUGCUGUUUCGCUGACGAGUGGCGGACGGGUGAGUAAUGUCUGGGAAACUGCCUGAUGGAGGGGGAUAACAGCCGGAAACGGCUGCUAAUACCGCAUAAUGCAUUGGAUUCGCAUGUUUCUGAUGCCAAAGAUUUUAUCGCUGAAAGAUGAGCUCGCGUCUGAUUAGCUAGUUGGCGGGGUAACGGCCCACCAAGGCGACGAUCAGUAGCCGGACUGAGAGGUUGAACGGCCACAUUGGGACUGAGACACGGCCCAG